Molecule: ribosomal RNA, 253 nt
Filed under: uncultured bacterium
Lineage: Bacteria
Description: partial 16S ribosomal RNA
Rfam family: Bacterial small subunit ribosomal RNA
Source: RNAcentral
GACGAACCGAGCGAACGUUAUUCGGAAUCACUGGGCUUAAAGGGCGCGUAGGCGGGCGGUCAAGUCAGGGGUGAAAGCCUCCAGCUCAACUGGAGAAGUGCCUCUGAUACUGGCCAUCUCGAGGGAGGUAGGGGCGUGCGGAACUUCCGGUGGAGCGGUGAAAUGCGUAGAUAUCGGAAGGAACGUCGGUGGCGAAAGCGGCGCGCUGGACCUCUUCUGACGCUGAGGCGCGAAAGCCAGGGGAGCAAACGGG